RNAcentral lists this ribosomal RNA (642 nucleotides) under Fusarium oxysporum. RNAcentral's name for it is "SSU rRNA". It matches the Rfam family "Bacterial small subunit ribosomal RNA", at positions 359 to 937 of the family's 1533-position model. Lineage: Eukaryota; Fungi; Ascomycota; Sordariomycetes; Hypocreales; Nectriaceae. The record is from RNAcentral.
GUCUUCCAGUAUGGGGAGCAAAACAGCUAUGGGUCAAGUCCGAUAUCUUUAGGAGAAGUCUUAUUGUGAGGGCGAGUUAUAUAACACCAUAGGACUGGCCGUCCCAUAUGAAAAGAUUAUAUUAGAAUUGAAUGAAGCUUUGUUUAUAUAUUGAUAAUGACAGUAUAUAUAUCGUGUCUUGACUAAUUGCGUGCCAGCAGUCGCGGUAAUACGUAAGAGACUAGUGUUAUUCAUCUUAAUUAGGUUUAAAGGGUACCCAGACGGUCAAUAUAGCUUAUAAAAUGUUAGUACUUGACUAGAGUUUUAUGUAAGAGGGCAGUACUUGAGGAGGAGAGAUGAAAUUUCGUGAUACCAAAGGGACUCUGUAAAGGCGAAGGCAGCCCUCUAUGUAAAAACUGACGUUGAAGGACGAAGGCACAGAGAACAAACAGGAUUAGAUACCCAAGUAGUCUUUGCAGUAAAUGAUGAAUGCCAUAGGUUAGAUUGGUCAAUUAUAGUCUAGGGUUAGUCUAGCAAACUAAUACCCUAUGCUAUAAUCCUAAUAUCUGGUCUAUAAAUGAAAGUGUAAGCAUUUCACCUCAAGAGUAAUGUGGCAACGCAGGAACUGAAAUCACUAAACCGUUUCUGACACCAGUAGUGAAG